UACGGGGGGGGCAAGCGUUGUUCGGAAUUACUGGGCGUAAAGGGCUCGUAGGCGGCCAACUAAGUCGGACGUGAAAUCCCCAGGCUCAACCUGGGAACUGCGUCCGAUACUGGAUGGCUUGAAUCCGGGAGAGGGAUGCAGAAUUCCAGGUGUAGCGGUGAAAUGCGUAGAUAUCUGGAGGAACACCGGUGGCGAAGGCGGCAUCCUGGACCAACACUGACGCUGAGUGAGCGAAAGCCAGGGGAGCGAACGGG
This 254-nucleotide ribosomal RNA is filed under the name uncultured bacterium. RNAcentral describes it as "partial 16S ribosomal RNA". It matches the Rfam family "Bacterial small subunit ribosomal RNA", at positions 524 to 776 of the family's 1533-position model. The record is from RNAcentral.